Molecule: ribosomal RNA, 451 nt
Filed under: uncultured bacterium
Lineage: Bacteria
Description: bacterial SSU rRNA
Rfam family: Bacterial small subunit ribosomal RNA
Source: RNAcentral
GUGGGGAAUCUUGCGCAAUGGGCGAAAGCCUGACGCAGCGACGCCGCGUGGGUGACGAAGGCCUUCGGGUUGUAAAGCCCUGUGGGGUAGAACGAACUGGCAUCGGGCUAAUAUCCCGGUGUCUUGACGGUACUGCCUUAGCAAGCAUCGGCUAACUCUGUGCCAGCAGCCGCGGUAAGACAGAGGAUGCGAACGUUGCUCGGAUUUACUGGGCGUAAAGCGCGUGUAGGCGGUCUCGUUAGUCGGGUGUGAAAGCCCCGGGCUCAACCCGGGAAGUGCACCCGAUACUGCGAGACUGGGGUACUGAAGAGGAGAGCGGAAUUCCCGGUGUAGAGGUGAAAUUCGUAGAUAUCGGGAGGAACACCAGUGGCGAAGGCGGCUCUCUGGGCAGAUACCGACGCUGAGACGCGAAAGCGUGGGGAGCAAACAGGAUUAGAAACCCGAGUAGUCC